GGGUGAGUUAUCAGAUGGGCGCUGAGCCAGACUGUAAAUCUGGCGUCUCCGGACUCGCAUGGUUCGACUCCAUGUUGCCCCACCA
This 85-nucleotide transfer RNA is filed under the name Stenotrophomonas phage Pokken. RNAcentral's name for it is "tRNA-Tyr". It matches the Rfam family "tRNA". From Rfam's summary of the family: Transfer RNA (tRNA) molecules are approximately 80 nucleotides in length. Their secondary structure includes four short double-helical elements and three loops (D, anti-codon, and T loops). The record is from RNAcentral. Lineage: Duplodnaviria; Heunggongvirae; Uroviricota; Caudoviricetes; Schitoviridae.